CAGAAGAUAGUUUAAUGAGAAUGCCAGCUUUGGGGGCUGGUGGCAGAGGUUUGAGUCCUCUUUUUCUGA
RNAcentral lists this transfer RNA (69 nucleotides) under Falco femoralis. RNAcentral's name for it is "tRNA-Pro". It matches the Rfam family "tRNA". Rfam says of the family: Transfer RNA (tRNA) molecules are approximately 80 nucleotides in length. Their secondary structure includes four short double-helical elements and three loops (D, anti-codon, and T loops). Lineage: Eukaryota; Metazoa; Chordata; Aves; Falconiformes; Falconidae. The record is from RNAcentral.